UCAAGUGGCUCAGUGCUGAGGCUGCUGGUUCUGUGCUCCAGCCACACCACAGUGGAGCAACUUCUGCCACCCACUUCCUAAACAACAACAACAGGACAGAAGCAAGUAAGCUCCCACCUUCCUUGUUCAUAGCUUGUUUGAGAACAGCACCGCUGUUUUCCCUCAUCACUGACUGCUUGGCCUGACUGACCCAACACCAAGCCUUUGGGUAAUUCUGCUCGCUCCUUACACAAGGAUGUAUUGUCAAGUGGCCUGCAGCCUGGGCUUCCACAGACCUGGGAGUACCAUCCCUGUUUUCAAGCCUUGACCAAAGGCAGUCCAACGAAUGGUCCGAGGACUGCAGCAGUACCGCAGUAGCAGUCUUGAGUAGAAUGACCUCAAUUCAGCUGGAUGACAGGUCACAGGACCCGGACCCAGAGAAGAGCAAGAGAUGCACUGUAUCACUGAGACUGAAGUCUCAUGGAAGGGCUGCGCUGCUUUUCUCAACAUGGAUAAGAGCUUAGCAAUUACCUUGUAGUCUCCCCUGACUAGUCGGACGAGCACCCCAGGACAGGACCGCGCCGCACGUCAUUAUGAAGGUGAGCUACUGUAGUAACAUCUGUCAUGAUUGAGGGAGGCCACACAAACAAGGCAGGUUUUUAAAAAGCUAGAAAGAUACACGCAGCACUCCGAAAUAAAUCACCACAGCGUCAUCCGAGCUCUGUUCAGUGAAGAAAGCGGAUGGCUGUGAAGGCAGCCUUGAUGGACUGAUUCACAGACCUGGGAGACGCCGACUGAAAGACUUCAGGUCUUUUACAAGAAGGCUUAGGCCCACGAUCACGGGACGACAAUUAGGACACUCAAGACACUCAAAGGCCUCCUGUUAGCUAAAAGGACAAUGUUGAAUUGUGCCAUCACACACUGCUGGCACAUUGUAGUUGGGCUGCAAAGAUCAUCUGAUAACAAUGAGGGUGAUGUAAGGCUUGUUUCAGACAGACAGCGACUCCGCACACAGGCAGUAAGUGGAUUGGAGUAUUGAACACCAGGCCAGAGCAGCGAUGGAACUAUGGCCCGAGCACGUGCCAUUGACUGAGGAAUUGCCAGCACAGUCCAUUAAUAGUGAGGAUUCCAGACGUCACUAAUGACUGUAAAGCCAUUCAAAGCAUGUUUGAGUAGCCACUGAGAAGAGUGAAUAACCUGUGAUGUAAAUAAGGAACAGGAGCAGUGAGGAAGCGGCAGAAGAAGAUGUGAUCGUAAACAGGUGACUCAUUAGAGCAGCCACACCGUAGAUCCUUCAAACUACUGGUGCUGAACAACAGCGGGAAGGUCACAGCUCUUGAUCAGGGGCAGUUGAAGCUCACCUGCAAACUGUCCCACUGCACAGUUCUUCUUCGUCUUCACAAAGCCUCUAACUCCCUAUAACCAGUCGAGUCUGACUACAUCCUCUGGCCAAAGUCAACAAGUCACGUGUCACACCUACAAUAGCCGUUCAAGGGUUCAGAAGAAUAUGAAUGACUAUGCAGGAACAUCCACUGGUGUUCAGUGGACUGUAAGGCAGCAACAGCUCGAUCAGCAAUGAGCCGAGCUAACAAGUGUGUGAGGUGAACUGCUGCCUGUGCUCAUGGUUUGGUCCACGGGCGGAACGCAGGUAAGCGUUAUGUGAAUGUGUGUUUCUAAGGUGGCCGGAAGUGAUCGACCGUGAAAUGUGCUGAAUGCAACACCAACUGUCCUCCAUUCCCUCCAUGCUUCACUAAGUGGUGAGAAGUCAAGCUAUUUGGACGAAAUGCCUUAACCUUGUUAAAAGGUUGAAAGCAGGCCAGGCGAUAAAAAGCCAGUUCAUCAGCAAGGAUCACAUGCUGUCUGGCCCACACCACAGCUUAGUUAUCCGCAGAGGCAGUUCCACAAAAUACUCACAUCUACUGCUUUGUCUGCCCCUUCAGUGGAACAGGCUUUCAAUACUCUGCAGCUAAUGCGAUUAAAGCGCUUGGCCAAGAUGACGCGGAGUUUUCACAUGGUGACACGGGAAGACAUUGAUCCGAAAGCACAACCAACCGCUGGGAAAGCAUGCCGCACGAGAGGGAAAAGCAAGUAUAUCUCAGCGUAAAACACAAAGAUGUGCUGUUACACAGACAAACUCCCAGAAGAGAAGCAAAUAAAGUCGACAUUCUACUCAAGCCGCCUGGAGCAGGGCCACUUCAAUAGGCUCAUGUUCUCGCAGAGUCUAUAUUUAGACAUCUGCCUUUCAAAUGGAGGCCAAAGGAAUGUCCAGGCCUGCCUGGUCUCUGGGGACACUGUCUGCUGAAUUAGAGAGGGCAAAACAAGCCAGCAAGGAGACGUGAAGAACACAGUCCUCUGACUUUCCCACAGCCUUUGACCCUGGGCGCCGACAUGCCAAGCUCCUGUGCGCCCUCUGUUGUCGCCCACUGUACAACUAGCACAGUGGCUGUUCCAGGAACCACAGCAUCUCCUGGGACGCACAACCAUCCAGGCUGAACUCCUUCUACAGUCGAAAUGUAUUUAAGCUUGCGACUCUUCGUCCGUCUCGUCACUUCCACACUGACCAAGCCUCAUGAUGGGGCGCAGCAUGGUGGAGAACGACGCACUUUUACUACCCAUGAGUCAAGAAAGUGUUACUGUUCAAGUUCUUCACAUGGCAGCAGCACUCUCUCACCAGACUGCUCGUUCAUCAUGCGAAUGGCUUUGGCUUUGGCCAGCUCCAGCGCCGUGACCCAUCUCUGCCGCUCCACUUCGGUGCUGGCCUUCAGGUGGUACGUGCGGCCGCCGCUGCUCAGGACAAUGUUGCAGGCGUCCUCUGUGUCGAUGUGCGCAGUGGCCAGGUUGAUUGUUCCACGGCACGUGUGAGCCAUCUCCGCCUGCGUCCUGAAACAAAGAACAAUUCAGCCGACAAAAUUACAUUUGAUACAUUUGAGGAAAGGUACUAUUGAGAAGCACUGGGCUGGUGGGCUCAGCAACGAGCUCUGUGCGCUUCGUGCUUGGUUAUGUCCAGAGGAUGGAACCUGUUUCAAGAAAUGGCCGAAUGACACGGUUUCUCUUGAGGAAAUGCAAUACAUGCGGAGGACUGACUGAUGGUCCAAUUUCGUCCUCUGAGAGAAGUGGCACUCUCUGACCACUGUACAUGGAUUGUUUGAAUGUGAUGUGGAAACUGUAUUUGUGGAAAAUUUGGAUUUAGUUUUUAUUGCCUUUUUGUCUUGUGAUUGUCCUCAUUUAUUAUUUUAUUUAGUUACUCAUUUUUGCUUUAUUUUUGUAUGUAAAAAAAAAAAAAAAAGAUAUGCGGCCUACAUCCAUCAGUCCCAGUCCCCUGGUGUCAGGAAAUAUAUAUCAGAAAUAAAUCAAGGUCCCCUUCACCCACAUA
This is a long non-coding RNA of Synchiropus splendidus (mandarinfish), 3352 nucleotides long. RefSeq lists it as uncharacterized. The transcript is spliced from 2 exons. NCBI's taxonomy places the organism in Eukaryota, Metazoa, Chordata, Actinopteri, Syngnathiformes, Callionymidae. The record is from RefSeq and is a predicted model, not a curated record.